This 440-nucleotide ribosomal RNA is filed under the name uncultured bacterium. Its description in RNAcentral is "partial 16S ribosomal RNA". It matches the Rfam family "Bacterial small subunit ribosomal RNA", at positions 338 to 795 of the family's 1533-position model. The record is from RNAcentral.
CCUACGGGAGGCAGCAGUAGGGAAUAUUGCUCAAUGGGGGAAACCCUGAAGCAGCAACGCCGCGUGGAGGAUGAAGGUUUUCGGAUUGUAAACUCCUUUUGUUAGAGAAGAUAAUGACGGUAUCUAACGAAUAAGCACCGGCUAACUCCGUGCCAGCAGCCGCGGUAAUACGGAGGGUACAAGCGUUACUCGGAAUCACUGGGCGUAAAGAGCGCGUAGGCGGGAUAGCAAGUCAGAUGUGAAAUCCUAGGGCUUAACCAUAGAACUGCAUUUGAAACUGUUAUUCUAGAGUAUGGGAGAGGUAGGUGGAAUUCUUGGUGUAGGGGUAAAAUCCGUAGAGAUCAAGAGGAAUACUCAUUGCGAAGGCGACCUGCUAGAACAUAACUGACGCUGAUGCGCGAAAGCGUGGGGAGCAAACAGGAUUAGAUACCCGUGUAGUC